GAUAUUUGACACCAGACUGAGUUGAAUGCUGCAUUUUUCAAGCGGCAUUUUGAAUGAGGAUUAAUCAUGGAGUUUGAGCAUCAAGUAAAAGAAGAGGAAAAGUCCUGUUCAACAAUAUAUCAGCUUAACAACAACAAGUUGAAAUUUGAAGCAGGACAAGACAGUAAACGUACCCCAUGGGUGGAGUAAGACCAAGGCCAUUGCUUAAGAGACUUGGCCUUCCAUUUACAACUGAUGUGUUCUUUGGAAGAUGAAUACGAGCUGCAUGUGCAGUUCCUGCUACUACUACUACUAGCAGCCAUAUGAUGAGCCUACUGAUGAAACCUCCAUCAUUCGACAACAUUAUUGUUUAUCCGAAAGCUGUGAGUUGGAGUAGAAUAAAACCAGAAUGACUCUCCCCUACUUGCUUUAGAAAUCACGCUGUACCAUAUCACGGGGGGUGAAAAAUCUUCUAAAGGAAUCUAACUGGGGCCAGACACAAUCUAGGUGACCAAGUCCUAAACUUUUAUGCACAACUGACAUACAGCACGGUGCGGACCACAGGCAUGCAUGGUGUUAUGGGUAGAGCUGGCAAUGGGUCGGGUUGGGUCGAAAUCAGGUCGACCUAUUUAUAAACGGGUUGAAAAUUCCCCGACCUGAACCCAACCUGUUUAGUUAAACGGGUUGAAAAUUUCAACCCAACCCAACCUGAAAUUAAACGGGUCAACCUGAUUUCAACCCGCUGACCCAUUUAUUUAUUUUUCUUUGUAAACAACAUGCACUGUAAUCUGUUAAAUAAAAAAUGUGAAUCGAAUUGGCAAUAUUUGCAAUUAAUGAAUGCAUUGUUACAAGUCAUUAAGUCUUAAUAAGUCACCAAAUCCGAAAUUAAGGCUUACUACAUUACCAAAUCCGAAAUUCUUGACAUAAAACUAAAAUUCAAAUACAAACUCAUAUAUGUAAUUGUUCAAUGCUAGUUUAUAAUACGCUAGCCCUAUCUAAGCAUCAAACUUGUUGGAGUUCCUGGUGAAGCAGGGUGAGGGUUGAGUAUCCACAGUCACAAAGCACAUCAACUUGAUCUUCCACCUUCAACAAUGUACUGCACUUCAAUUUAAAUUGGCAAUAAAUCAGUAACAUAAUAAAAUCAACAUUCCACUAGCUCACAUAUAUAAAAAUUAACCGGUAAACUACCAUGAACUACUAAUUUCAUAUUGAAGUUUCCUACAAAGACCAAAUCUAGUACAAAUCCAACUUACAAAAAGCACAAACUUCUUAAUGUUACUAAAACAAAGCCAUAUUUGAUAUUUAGCAUGGUAAUCCUACAUUUUACAAGAAAACAGCAAGACCCAUGCUUAUUACUCAAAAUUACGAAUGGUUCAACAUACAAAAAAUUACGAAAAUUACUCACUUGAAUUAGAGUGACUGAGUGAGUGAGAGAGCGGCGCGGUGAGCGGAGAGCCGGAGACCGACGAGGGGCGUGGUGGGUGAGUGGAAACCAACAAGCGGCGGCGCGGUGGGUUUAAGUCAUAGUGAGAGAAUGAGUGAGUGCGAGAGUUAGAGAGGAGAGACUGAGAGAGGGGAGACAGUGAGAGUGAAUUUGUGAGAGAUUUUUAGGGUUUUUCUUUAUAUAUGAGUAGAGAAGAAGAGAAGCCCAAACCAUAAAGCCCAAAAUGAUUUAGGAUAUCCAGUAAUUUUUCUUUAAACUUUUAAACGGGUUGGCGGAUUGGCCGGGUUGGCGGGUUAACCUAUGACCCAAUAAUUAAACGGGUUAGGCGGGUUGUCUUCGGGUUGAAAUUUUCAACCUGACCCAACCCAUUUAAUAAACGGGUUGGGUUGGGUCGACCUAUUUAACUAAACGGGUUGAAAAAUCUUGACCCAACCCUUUAAUAACGGGUUGGGUUCGGGUCGGGUUAGUGGGUUGGGUAAGCUUUUGCCAGCUCUAGUUAUGGGCCACCUUUCUUUUGCAAUUGACCUUGCCUAGUGCGUUGCUCAUGGGCCGGUCUACCCAGGCUCAAGCUAAGUGAGUUUGGCACGGGCCAAAGUCAUCUUUACUUUUAAUGAUUUUGAGAGACGGUGUUCUUUUCACCUUAGAAAAUAUCAAGUUUAGUUCAUACUUCCUCUCUUCAUAAAUAUUCGUAAUAUUUGAUAUUUUUACACUAUUCACAUAUUCCAUUUUUGACUAUUGUUGGUGAUUUAUACGUCAAAUGAAACAUAGUCAUGUGUGAUCUUGUUAGAUUCGUCUCAAUACUUAUUUUCAACCUAUCAAUUUUUUUUUAUAAUUUUUGCUUGGAGAGAAUUUAAGAUAUUGACAAUCUAAAUUGUGCACUGGCUUGGGUGAAAGUGACAAACGUUGCGAGUAUUUAUGAACGGAGGAAGUACUUUAUUAGUUUCAAUAAGUUCCAAUCAAGUCUUUUUUACACGUCUAAUUAGGCGCAAUAAGAUUUUGUCAGUUCCAAUAAGUAAUUAUCUCAUAAAUUUCUAUCA
Spinacia oleracea (spinach) is the source of this 2460-nucleotide long non-coding RNA. RefSeq lists it as uncharacterized. NCBI's taxonomy places the organism in Eukaryota, Viridiplantae, Streptophyta, Magnoliopsida, Caryophyllales, Amaranthaceae. The transcript has 3 exons. The record is from RefSeq and is a predicted model, not a curated record.